Molecule: transfer-messenger RNA, 392 nt
Filed under: Leptolyngbyaceae
Lineage: Bacteria; Bacillati; Cyanobacteriota; Cyanophyceae; Leptolyngbyales
Also listed under: 1 other name
Description: JAAUSA01 sp012031975 Standard tmRNA
Rfam family: transfer-messenger RNA
About the family: Bacterial tmRNA, also known as 10Sa RNA or SsrA, is named for its dual tRNA and mRNA-like properties. Its role is to liberate the mRNA from a stalled ribosome. To accomplish this part of the tmRNA is used as a reading frame that ends in a translation stop signal.
Source: RNAcentral
GGGGCUGUAACGGUUUCGACAGGUUGGCGAACGUUACAUUGUGAUGCAGGUCGAGAGUGAGUCUACUCUCGUUAAUCAAGGCUCAAAAACAUAGAUGCAAACAACAUCGUUUCCUUUGCUCGUAAAGCUGCCCCUGUGGCUGCUUAGUCCAAAACCUUAACUUAGGUUCGAGCACGUAUGACCCGACUCCGUUAAAGGACAUACGCACUAAUUAACGCGAUGCUAUCCAGUGAGUUUCUUUAGUUGUAACUGGGCCAAGAUUUAAUUAAAGAAUCCCCUUCACCGGGACAAUGGUGAGUUCCCGUUCUGAGGAUUAGAUGAACUAAGCCUGUGAAUGAGUGGUGUAUUAAUACCCAGUUUGGACACGGGUUCGACUCCCGUCAGCUCCACUA